This 336-nucleotide unclassified non-coding RNA is filed under the name soil metagenome. RNAcentral's name for it is "partial contains 5.8S ribosomal RNA, internal transcribed spacer 2, and large subunit ribosomal RNA". The stretch from base 1 to 120 matches the Rfam family "5.8S ribosomal RNA", at positions 35 to 154 of the family's 154-position model. The record is from RNAcentral.
GAUGAAGAACGUAGUGAAAUGCGAUAAGUAGUGUGAAUUGCAGAAUUCAGUGAAUCAUCGAAUCUUUGAACGCACAUUGCGCCCCAUGGUAUUCCGUGGGGCAUGCCUGUUCGAGCGUCAUUUACCCCCUCAAGCUCCGCUUGGUGUUGGGCGUCUGUCCCGCUUCGCGCGCGGACUCGCCCCAAAGGUAUUGGCAGCGGUCGUGCCAGCUUCUCGCGCAGCACAUUGCGCUUCUCGAGGCACCGGUGGGCCCGCGUCCAUCAAGCUCACCCCCCCAGUUUGACCUCGGAUCAGGUAGGGAUACCCGCUGAACUUAAGCAUAUCAAUAAGCGAGGA